GUCCUCACUUCAGCAGAACACAUACUAAAAUUGGAAUGAUACAGAGAAGAUUAGCAUGACUCCU
RNAcentral lists this small nuclear RNA (64 nucleotides) under Cervus elaphus hippelaphus. RNAcentral also lists the same sequence under 1 other name. Lineage: Eukaryota; Metazoa; Chordata; Mammalia; Artiodactyla; Cervidae. The record is from RNAcentral.